AGCCAGCCAGGAGUGAAGACGACAGGUUUGCUGUCUCCUUUGCCUGUGGGUCUGGGGCCCCAGCCUGGGGGAGACCCGUGACUCCAGGCAUGCUAUCAGGACAACUUCAACCCGAGGGGAGAUCAGCUCUCCCGCAACCUGGUGCCGCUCUCUGACAGCACAACAGAACCUAAGGGGCUACAGGAUGAUUCAAGGAACAGUGUGCUACAGGACCUCGGUAUUCCUGCUGAGAGUCAUUUCCUGUGCUGGAUUUACCAUCACAGGGACCAGAUUUAUAGAAAAAUGAACAUGUAUUGUUGCUAAAUGGAGUUGGUCAUGGAGUGGAAACUAACAAUAUGUUCACCUUAGAAAUGUGCUACAACCACUCAAGGUCUGCAAACAGAUUCCUAUUUAGAUGUUGUUGAGAGCUGAAUUUCUGGAACAAGAGAUAUAGAUUAAGACUGUUGUUACAUGUUGCCUACAUGACUUUCAAAAGCUUGAUUCCCAGUGGCGCUCUCAACAGCAGUCAUAAACAAUGAUGCAGUAAAGACUUUUGACAAAAUUUAACGUCUCUUCAUGUUAACAACCCUCAACAAACUGGGCAUUGAAGAAACAUACUCUAAAAUAAUAAGAACCGUCUAUGACAAGCCUAUAGCAAACAUCGUACUGAAUGGGCAAAGGCUAGAAGCACUCCCCAUGAAAACCGGAACAAGACGAGGAUGCCCAAUCUCACCACUCCUAUUUACCAUAAUACUGGAUGUCCAGGUCAGAGCAUUCAGGCAAGAGAAAGAAAGAAAAGCCAUCCAAAUAGGAAGAGAAAAAGUCGUACUAUCCCUUUUUACCAAUGAUAUAAUUCUAUACCUUGAAAGUCCCAUAGUCUCUGCCCAAGAACUCCUUGAUCUGAUAAACAACUUCAUCAAAGUGUCAGGAUGCAAAAUCAAUGUGCAAAAAUCAGUAGCAUUCCUAUACAACAAUAACAUGCAAGUUUCUAAGCUUACAUGGUUCUAGCCAUGCCUCUUAUUGUUAAAAUAAUGAC
This 1015-nucleotide long non-coding RNA is filed under the name Homo sapiens (human). Its description in RNAcentral is "long intergenic non-protein coding RNA 278". The record is from RNAcentral. Lineage: Eukaryota; Metazoa; Chordata; Mammalia; Primates; Hominidae.